This 731-nucleotide ribosomal RNA is filed under the name uncultured bacterium. Its description in RNAcentral is "bacterial SSU rRNA". It matches the Rfam family "Bacterial small subunit ribosomal RNA", at positions 28 to 754 of the family's 1533-position model. The record is from RNAcentral.
AUUGAACGCUGGCGGCAGGCUUAACACAUGCAAGUCGAACGAUGAUUAUCUAGCUUGCUAGAUAUGAUUAGUGGCGGACGGGUGAGUAACAUUUAGGAAUCUGCCUAGUAGUGGGCGAUAGCUCGGGGAAACUCGAAUUAAUACCGCAUACGACCUACGGGUGAAAGGGGGCGCAAGCUCUUGCUAUUAGAUGAGCCUAAAUCAGAUUAGCUAGUUGGUGGGGUAAAGGCCCACCAAGGCGACGAUCUGUAACUGGUCUGAGAGGAUGAUCAGUCACACCGGAACUGAGACACGGUCCGGACUCCUACGGGAGGCAGCAGUGGGGAAUAUUGCACAAUGGGGGCAACCCUGAUCCAGCCAUGCCGCGUGGGUGAAGAAGGCCUUUUGAUUGUAAAGCACUUUAAGCAGGGAGGAGAGGCUAAUGGUUAAUACCCAUUAGAUUAGACGUUACCUGCAGAAUAAGCACCGGCUAACUCUGUGCCAGCAGCCGCGGAAUACAGAGGGUGCGAGCGUUAAUCGGAAUUACUGGCCGUCGUUUUACAGUAGGUGGCUCAUUAAGUCACAUGUGAAAUCCCCCGGGCUUAACCUGGGAACUGCAUGUGAUACUGGUGGUGCUAGAAUAUGUGAGAGGGAAGUAGAAUUCCAGGUGUAGCGGUUGACAUGCGUAGAGAUCUGGAGGAUUACCGAUGGCGAAGGCAGCUUCCUUGGCAUAAUAUUUGACACUGAGAUUC